This is a non-coding RNA of Cicer arietinum (chickpea), 402 nucleotides long. Lineage: Eukaryota; Viridiplantae; Streptophyta; Magnoliopsida; Fabales; Fabaceae. The record is from RefSeq and is a predicted model, not a curated record.
ACAAAAGGGAAAAAAAUAGAAAGAGAGAGUGGGGACGGCCACGAAGAAAGGAAUAAAAAGAAAAGGAAAGGAGAGGAGAGGAAGCCAAAUAGUGGAUGGUGGCGACGAUGAUGAAGGCGGCAAUGGAUGGUGGCGACGACGACGAAGGCGACAAUUUAAGCCUCAUCUUCAUUUGUUUGGUUAAUAGUUUCUAAUGUUGAAGAUUGAAGGAGAAAUAAAAAACAAUGAUGAUGAUAGCACAAGGUUCGAAGCCCAUGAAAAUAGUUUUUUUUUUUAUUUUGUAUGUAUAUGUAACAACAACAAAAAAUUAUAUAUCUAUAUAAUAUUAAUAUUAAAGAGAUUUAGAAUAUCUUACUUGUAUUUUGUAUUUUCUUCUUCUCUUACUAUAUUACUUCUCUUCUA